RNAcentral lists this ribosomal RNA (266 nucleotides) under uncultured bacterium. Its description in RNAcentral is "partial 16S ribosomal RNA". It matches the Rfam family "Bacterial small subunit ribosomal RNA", at positions 529 to 793 of the family's 1533-position model. The record is from RNAcentral.
AGGGUGCGAGCGUUAAUCGGAAUUACUGGGCGUAAAGCGCAUGCAGGUGGUUUGUUAAGUCAGAUGUGAAAGCCCGGGGCUCAACCUCGGAAUUGCAUUUGAAAACUGGCAAACUAGAGUACUGUAGAGGGGGUAGAAUUUCAGGUGUAGCGGUGAAAAUGCGUAGAGAUCUGAAGGAAUACCGGUGGCGAAGGCGGCCCCCUGGACAGAUACUGACACUCAGAUGCGAAAGCGUGGGGAGCAAACAGGAUUAGAUACCCUGGUAG